RNAcentral lists this ribosomal RNA (497 nucleotides) under uncultured bacterium. Its description in RNAcentral is "partial 16S ribosomal RNA". It matches the Rfam family "Bacterial small subunit ribosomal RNA", at positions 28 to 507 of the family's 1533-position model. The record is from RNAcentral.
GAUGAACGCUGGCGGCGUGCCUAAUACAUGCAAGUCGAGCGAACAGAUGAGGAGCUUGCUCCUCUGACGUUAGCGGCGGACGGGUGAGUAACACGUGGAUAACCUACCUAUAAGACUGGGAUAACUUCGGGAAACCGGAGCUAAUACCGGAUAAUAUAUUGAACCGCAUGGUUCAAUAGUGAAAGACGGUUUUGCUGUCACUUAUAGAUGGAUCCGCGCCGCAUUAGCUAGUUGGUAAGGUAACGGCUUACCAAGGCAACGAUGCGUAGCCGACCUGAGAGGGUGAUCGGCCACACGGGAACUGAGACACGGUCCAGACGACUACGGGAGGCAGCAGUAGGGAAUCUUCCGCAAUGGGCGAAAGCCUGACGGAGCAACGCCGCGUGAGUGAUGAAGGUCUUCGGAUCGUAAAACUCUGUUAUUAGGGAAGAACAAAUGUGUAAGUAACUAUGCACGUCUUGACGGUACCUAAUCAGAAAGCCACGGCUAACUACGUG